This 458-nucleotide ribosomal RNA is filed under the name Scrippsiella trochoidea. RNAcentral describes it as "partial Bacterial small subunit ribosomal RNA". It matches the Rfam family "Bacterial small subunit ribosomal RNA", at positions 921 to 1400 of the family's 1533-position model. The record is from RNAcentral. Lineage: Eukaryota; Dinophyceae; Peridiniales; Peridiniaceae.
CCGCACAAGCGGUGGAGCAUGUGGUUUAAUUCGAUGCAACGCGAAGAACCUUACCUACCCUUGACAUCCAGGGAAAAGCUUGUAAUGAGCUUAAUGCCUUCGGGAACCCUGUGACAGGUGCUGCAUGGCUGUCGUCAGCUCGUGUCGUGAGAUGUUGGGUUAAGUCCCGCAACGAGCGCAACCCUCGCCGUUAGUUGCCAGCAGGUUUGGCUGGGCACUCUAACGGGACCGCCGGUGUUAAGCCGGAGGAAGGUGGGGAUGACGUCAAGUCCUCAUGGCCCUUACGGGUAGGGCUACACACGUGCUACAAUGGCAGUGACAGAGAGCUAAUCUCAAAAAACUGUCUCAGUUCGGAUUGUCUUCUGCAACUCGAAGGCAUGAAGUUGGAAUCGCUAGUAAUCGCGGAUCAGCAUGCCACGGUGAAUACGUUCCCGGGCCUUGUACACACCGCCCGUCAC